RNAcentral lists this ribosomal RNA (550 nucleotides) under uncultured bacterium. RNAcentral's name for it is "bacterial SSU rRNA". It matches the Rfam family "Bacterial small subunit ribosomal RNA", at positions 355 to 896 of the family's 1533-position model. The record is from RNAcentral.
UAGGGAAUCUUCGGCAAUGGACGGAAGUCUGACCGAGCAACGCCGCGUGAGUGAAGAAGGUUUUCGGAUCGUAAAGCUCUGUUGUAAGAGAAGAACGAGUGUGAGAGUGGAAAGUUCACACUGUGACGGUAUCUUACCAGAAAGGGACGGCUAACUACGUGCCAGCAGCCGCGGUAAUACGUAGGUCCCGAGCGUUGUCCGGAUUUAUUGGGCGUAAAGCGAGCGCAGGCGGUUAGAUAAGUCUGAAGUUAAAGGCUGUGGCUUAACCAUAGUACGCUUUGGAAACUGUUUAACUUGAGUGCAAGAGGGGAGAGUGGAAUUCCAUGUGUAGUGGUGAAAUGCGUAGAUAUAUGGAGGAACACCGGUGGCGAAAGCGGCUCUCUGGCUUGUAACUGACGCUGAGGCUCGAAAGCGUGGGGAGCAAACAGGAUUAGAUACCCUGGUAGUCCACGCCGUAAACGAUGAGUGCUAGGUGUUAGACCCUUUCCGGGGUUUAGUGCCGUAGCUAACGCAUUAAGCACUCCGCCUGGGGAGUACGACCGCAAGGUUG